GUACAUCUAUAUGGGUCUCUCUUUCUUUCUCUCUCUCUCUCUCUCUCUCUCUCUAUAUAUAUAUAUAUAUAUAUAUAUAUAUAUAUAUAACUGACUCUGAGAGGGAGAGAGAGAGAGAGAGAGAGAGAGAGAGAUUUGAUGAGAAAA
This 147-nucleotide microRNA precursor is filed under the name Marmota monax (woodchuck). Lineage: Eukaryota; Metazoa; Chordata; Mammalia; Rodentia; Sciuridae. The record is from RNAcentral.